This 480-nucleotide ribosomal RNA is filed under the name uncultured bacterium. RNAcentral describes it as "partial 16S ribosomal RNA". It matches the Rfam family "Bacterial small subunit ribosomal RNA", at positions 28 to 507 of the family's 1533-position model. The record is from RNAcentral.
GAUGAACGCUGGCGGCGUGCUUAACACAUGCAAGUCGAACGGAACUACUCCAAUGAGAGUCUUCGGAAAGGAUUUGGUUUAGUUUAGUGGCGGACGGGUGAGUAACGCGUGGGUAACCUGCCCUAUACAGGGGGAUAACAGUUGGAAACGACUGUUAAUACCGCAUAAGCGCACAGGAGCGCAUGCUCCGGUGUGAAAAACUCCGGUGGUAUAGGAUGGACCCGCGUCUGAUUAGCUGGUUGGCGGGGUAACGGCCCACCAAGGCGACGAUCAGUAGCCGGCCUGAGAGGGUGAACGGCCACAUUGGGACUGAGACACGGCCCAAACUCCUACGGGAGGCAGCAGUGGGGAAUAUUGCACAAUGGGGGAAACCCUGAUGCAGCGACGCCGCGUGAGCGAAGAAGUAUCUCGGUAUGUAAAGCUCUAUAAGCAGGGAAGAAAAUGACGGUACCUGACUAAGAAGCCCCGGCUAACUACGUG